GUGGCUGUAGUUUAGUGGUGAGAAUUUCACGUUGUGGCUGUGGAGACCUCGGCUUGAAUCCCAGCAGCCACA
Molecule: non-coding RNA, 72 nt
Organism: Triticum aestivum (bread wheat)
Lineage: Eukaryota; Viridiplantae; Streptophyta; Magnoliopsida; Poales; Poaceae
Source: Rfam